GAGGUCCCUGGUGCCUGCUGCGUGUGGCCUGUGACGCCAUCAGGAGGCGUCCGGAAGCGCCCGGGCCCGCGACCCCGCCCCCCCCAUCCCGCCAGGUCGCCGCGAGAGAAGGUGGCUGCCCCCCCCGCCCCUCCGUAUCGCCUCCCUCCGCGUCCCCCACCGCUCGCCCCCCGCCGUCCGGACUCGGGGCUCCGCGCGGCUCCGUCCGAGGCUCUGGCGCGAUGCUGCUGCCGGAGCCGCCGCCUGAGGAAACGGCCCCGAGCGGGCGGACGUGCGGGCUGCGGCGCCCGCGCUGCGCGUGAGAGCGCUCGGCCGCUCCGCCCUCCCCGCGCGCCGGCCGCCGCGUCACGGCCGCGUUGGUAACCGGGCGCCCAGGCACGGCCAUCGGGGCGAGCAGAGGCCACCCGCGGGCGGGCCGCGGUUGCACGAGGGGGCGCGGCUGUGCGCCAGCCUCAACUCGCUGCCUCCCUCUGCCCCGACUCGCUCCCGCCUCCUGGGCGGGGCCCGACUUAGCCUCCGCCCCCCCUUCCCUCCCUCCCCCUUCCCUUCCCUCCUUCCCUCCCUCCUUCCCUCCCCUUCCUCUCCUCCCUCCCUCUCCUUUCCUUCCCUCCUUCCCUCCCCCUUCCCUUCCCUCCCUCCCUCCCUCCUUUCCUUCCCUUCUGCUCUCCCUCCCUCCUCUUCCAUCCUUCCCUUCCCUCCUUCCCUCUCUCCUUCCUUCCUUCCCUCCCCCCUCCUUUCCUUCCCUUCUGCCCUCCCUCCCUCCUCUUCCAUCCUUCCCUUCCCUCCUUCCUUUGCUUCCCUCCCUCCCUCCCUCCCUCCUUCCCUCCUUUCCUCCUUCCGUCCCUCCCUCCUUUCCCUUCUCUCUAUUUCUGCCCAGCCUCUGUCCUGCUCCCUGCAUUCCAGCUUCACUGAGCUGCUGUGGUCCCUGAAAGACAUGGUCCCUCAUCAUUCCCCAUCUCCGAGGUCACCUGUCUGGGAUGCCCUUUCUCAUGCUCCCUCCUUCCUCCCUCUGUGCUGUGUCUUCUGAGACCGCCCUCAGAGGCCACCUCUCCGCAUCCCUCCCUGACCUGGAGGACAUGUGCAUCCCUUCUCUGUGGCCACAUCACCACACAAAGACAGGGUUCUCUGCCCGAUGCCCGUAAAAAGCCAAUGAUCACACCACCAGCUUUUUCGAGGUCGGCCAGCCAGGAGGCGGGAGUCAGAGCUCUCAGAGGAUACGGUGUGGACACUAGUUCAUACCUCCAGCUUCUCCUAGUACCGUGCCCAGGCUGGCAGACACAGUGGACACUUGCCGCCCAACUGACACGCUGAGGGUCGGAUGUGCCGCAUUUGCAGGUUACUGCCUGUUCCCUGUCAGAGGCAACAAAGCUGCUAGAGGUCGAGGAGGGCGUGGGUGUUGUGUAGACUGCGCUCGGGCUGCAGACGUGCGAGGACGGGCCCUGGGUGGUGCUGACAAACGAGGGGAACGAUUGAGUUCUGAGGGCUUUAUAAACACCCAGUAGAAGAUGUAUCGCCCCAGAUACGGUUUGUUUCUUAGUGAAAGUCAGCUCUAUGAAGGUGUAACUUCCGUACGAUAGAACACAGGCAUGUUAAGUGUGCGUCUGGUGAAUUUUGGAACAUGUCAGCACCUGGGUGGCCACGACCCCCAUUGAGAACUGGACUAUCUCGGCGUUAACCAGAUCUCCUGAAAUUCUCCAUCUGGCACAGGGUCCGCCUGCCCCACCUGCAGUGGGUCCUGUGCUUUGGGCUCUGGCCCCCGUGGGAGCAGCUGCAGUGGACGCUAGGGGGACACCAGGCUGGUCUUCAUCAGUCACAGAGACCACUCUCUGUCCAGAAGUAGGAGUGUGUGACACCUCUAUCCUCGUCACGCCUACGGCUGACCUCGACCGGUAACCACAGCCUGCGGUGCUCACAUUCCCAGGAGACAGCCCAGCAGUCCCGUCCCAGUUUGUCAGGAUUGCCCACCACGCACACGCUUCUCCUGUGUCUAGGUCCCAAUUCUGGCACAGGACGCACCACAGUGCUGCCACGUUCCUCCUCCUCUGGUCCCAGGCUUGGCACUGGCCACCCCACAGCAGCAUGUCUGUCAUGGUCUCCAGCUCAGCUGUGCUGGCUUGUGUUGUAUCACAGCUCUGCCCGAUCUUACAUACUUAUUCUAAAUCUCUCCUCCAAAUCAGGAGAGUACCUCGAAUAAGGAGGGGUCUCCAAUGGUUUGAGAGUCAGAGUUGCUUUGGAAACUAGAUGCAGGCCCCCCCGAGAGGCUCCAGUCCUGGAGUCCCCACAUGUCAUCCCGUGUUCAGAGAUGCGGGCACUACAGGCCUGAUGGGAGGGAGUGGCUGCCGUCCCUAGAUGUCCACCUGCGCUGCCCUCUCCCUGCUGGAGAGAGUGCCUUAGGGCAGAUGCUGUGACGAAGGUCAAAGUGACCUCUGCGUGUGAUGUCUGCCACUGGUGGCCCCAGUUGCGUAACUGCAAAGAGAACCCCAAGGAAGGGAGGGAGUCGCCCCAGGAUGAGGCGCCUGGUAGUUGCUCCUCUGGGUUGGCCCAUGGGCAAGGGACUCCCUGCGUGGUGGGUGUGGGGUUCCUGCCAAGUCACCGCCCAUAAGGCGUUAAUGAGGCGUUUGAGAUGAGGCCCCUAGUCUGGGGGUCUCCCCUUACUGGAGCCCCCUGAUCUGAAACUCCAAGGGGCCCUCCGGGGUCAGCUCCCUGUGGCCCCUUGUGUGGCACUCCAGGUGUCUCUGUGCACACUCGCCUCUGUGCUCUCCUGACCCCUGACCUCUGGACUGCGAAUGUGCAGGGAUGAACAUGGUGCGAGCCCAGAGCAUGGAGCAGCUGUGAAGGGACAGGCCUACAGGCCUGAUUCCCGAGCCUGGCAGGGCCGGCAGAGGAUCAAGAGCAGGCAGAGCCGAGCUGAGCCCUGACCCAGAAGGGAGAGGAGCGUCCCACUCCAGCAUGAGGGACCCCAUCCCCCCAGGGCGUGGCUGCUCCAGCCCUCCCUGCAGUUCAUUCUUUUAUCAGCAAAUGUCCCUGCAUGGGGCUUUGGGGAGAGCUGCUCUCUGGUUCCUGGGAGGUGCUCCCUCCGGGCACCCCUGGGUCCUGGCGUGGCCCCGAGAGGCUCAGAAUCACCCAGCAUUGUGGGGCUGGAGUCUGGAGCUCAGCCUCUCCCUCAGGCCUCCCUCAGGGGUCCUCUUGCCUCAGCUCACUUGAGAAGGCCAGUCCUUCCAGGUCUCCCAGGGCCUCCAGUGGUGUCAGAGCCUGACACUGGCCAGAAACCCCUCCCACGAAGAGACGCCAGGUGAGCGUCAACUCCAGCUACCCGGAACACCAGCCGGGCUCCAUCCUCUGCACCCUGUGAGUGGGGGUCUGCCUGGGGCUGCAGGCCCAGUGCGGGGCAGUGUCCGGCCUGAGAUGAGCAGACAGGAGGGCCACCCCGGCCCGCAGAGCAGCAGCUGUCUGCCCGCGCCUCGUUGCCUCUCGUGCAGGUGGCUUCACCCACACGUUGCACCGUGUGUACAGGGAGACAGUGGCGCUCUCCCGUGUGCACACACCACUCCUUCAGAAGCAGCACGUGCCCUUGAGCCUGACUCCGUCCCCAGGAGCCCGUGGAGGCACAGCAGGGCCUCUGGCCACCGCAGCAGGAGGAGCUGCAGCCUCUCUGUCAGCUGGUGGUGUCUCAGGGAAGCAGUGCAGAUGGGGUCUCUGGACCUGCUGGGGGCCUGGAGUGGUUUCUGAGCCCCAGGGAUGGUGAGAAGUGAGGUAGGAGGCCGGUGGAGGGAGGAACAGAGAUCCCAGGCUGGCAUUCGCAUCAGUGACCAGCCCUGCAGGCAGCUGUGGUCGAGGGCGCGCGUCUGACUGGAGCAGGUGCAGGGGUGAAGUUCUCUCAGGCAGACAAGCAUUCAGUCCCGUUUUCCCAGGUGUACUUAGCACGUCGGCACCUCUGCUAAUGGCAGCAGCUCCCUGCCCAGCCAGGGGACCCACCCGGAUGAUCCCCUCCCCCCUGGGCCCAGUGGGCAUCCUGCCGGAGAACUGGGGCCAGUAGGCUCCUGGGGUCCCCAGUGCCCCUGCCCAUCGGCCCAGAGAAAGGAGGGCUGGAGAGGGCGGGUUCCUGGCCUCUGCUGGCUGGGCCUGUUAGAAUUCAAGGGUGGGCCGUCUUCUGUGUUUCAGGCUCCAGGACACUCAGGGUCAUCAACUUUGUUAAAUUUCUAAUCAGAAAAGUUCUGACUCUAGCACGACGGUGUUUCCCUUUCAUACAGGAUCAUGAGCCUCCCAGGUGAUGGUGAAAAUUGUAAAAUUUUAUUUAAAAUACAUUUAUUCCUUCAUUAUGAAAGUAACAGAGAGAAGGAACACAUUUCUGAAGCCAACAUGGUCUGUUAGUUAAUUAAAAUUAUAAAGUUUAAAAUGGUGAAAGUGAUAAUAAAAAAUAAGGAAGCAGACAUACUUUGCAUAUAUUUUUAACUUAAAACUUAUAAAUAUGCAUUAAUUCUUAAUAAGUUCAUGAGAUUUACUUUUCAUACAAUGAAAUCUUCAGAUUCUGACUGUACGUGCUGAUAAGUUCUGAUAAAGGUGCACAAUCAAUGGAGAUGCAUCAAGUUUCCAUCACGCUAGAAAGGCCCCUCUCCCCUCUGGUCAAUAUCCCACCCGGGGCCGCCUCACACCCAGAGUGACCUCACAACCAGGGCCACUGCUCACCUAGGGCCACUGCACAACCAGAGCCACAGCACACCCGGGGCCACAGCACACCCAGAGUGACCUCACAACCAGGGCCACUGCUCACCCGGGGCCACCACACACCCAGGGCCACAGCACACCCGGGGCCACAGCACACCCAGAGUGACCUCACAACCAGGGCCACUGCUCACCUAGGGCCACCGCACACCCAAGGCCACCGCACACCCAGGGCCACAGCACACCCAGAGUGACCUCACAACCAGGGCCACUGCACACCUGGGGCCACUGCACACCCAGAGUGACCUCACAACCAGGGCCACUGCUCACCCAGGGCCACCGCACAACCAGGGCCACAGCACACCCAGAGUGACCUCACAACCAGGGCCACUGCUCACCUAGGGCCACCGCACAACCAGGGCCACAGCACACCCAGAAUGACCUCACAACCAGGGCCACUGCUCACCCGGGGCCACUGCACACCCAAGGCCACCGCAUACCUGGGGCCACCCUCUGCUUCCUCUGUCAUCGUUUGGGCAGCUCUGGCCUUGACUGUAUUUUCGUGUAGGGUGGAGACUAGUCAGCCGGUCAGGACUGGAGUCUUAUUUUCAUUUUUGGUAUAAACCACGUGCUUACUUCAUCCCCUAAGAUACCCACUUUUGGUACUUUUUUUUAAGUACCAGGACUGAGACUUGAAUAUGUUUGUAAAGUCACCUGAGACCAGAAAUCUUCCAAAUUUUCACAAGUUGCUUUUCGUAUUUUGAGGUAUCUUGUCUGCAGCUAAUUCAAAAGCAAUUUUUAAAGUGACUUCACUUGCCUUUGUCUUGAUUUCCCAAACUGUGUAUUGUAGAAACGACUUUCUCUCCUUUUACACGAUGCGUAGCUGGUUUAUGUAACGUUUGGUCAAGUUACGCGGUAGAGCAAGAGCAAGUGGCGUAGAUGGGUGGGCGCGACCUGACCGCGUGGUUGGUGUCACCCCCACUGACACCUGCGUCUUACCGGGCUGCUGAGCCCCGAGACCAGAGCCGCCUGAGCUGGUGGAGCAGAGGUUGGUGUGCGAUAGGUUCUCGCACACAAAUGAAUAACAACAGAUGGGAACACACACACUGGUCCUACACUCCGAGGCAUCUCUGCACAACGCCUGCCGUGUGGUUUCCCAGCCUCACGUGUGUGUGUGUGUGUGUGUGUGUGUGUGUGUGUACGGUUAGCCUUGCUGCAGGGCCCAAGGGAGCCGCCUGUGCCCCCAAAACUGCCUUCGCUCUGACAGUGACCACACGGAAUGAGGUUCUCUGCCCGGUGCACAUAAACAGCCACUAGUCGGGCAUCAGCCUUUGCGAAGAGACCAGCUUUAUUCUGCGAGGCCGACCUGCAGGGAGGCAGGGGGCCCUCAUCUGUCUCCCCAGAGCAGGAUUUGGGGUGAAAUUUAGGGGGUCUAGACAACAGUUAGGCACGCGCAAACUCUGGGGGGACGGGUUUCCAUUGCUGGGCUUCAAGCAUUUAUGACGGGGUUCUAACUGUUUACGACGGGGCUCUAGACAUUCUCUGUGAAUUUUAACACUGGAUCUUCCUGAACCAGGGCCCUCGCUUCUGAUGAGAGCCCGACCUUCAAACUCCGGUCGCAUUCUGUCCUUGGGUUCCGUGGGAAGGGGGAUCUUCGGUUCCACGGUCAUUUCAAGUCAAGAUUUCCUCUUCUGCGCGUGCUCUGGCCACGUGACUUGGCACGUUUCCUGUUUCCUGAAAGGCGAUUCUCAACCUCUCUGUUGAUAAGAGAUGGCUCAGUUGACCUGGUGCUGGCGGGCCUGCGGUUACACCGCCAGCCGCAGGCUCGGGAUCCCCAAGGCGGUGCUUGGUGUGACAGCUCUCUGGAAGGGCCUGGAGCUCGCUGAGAGCUGAACCACGCAUGGCCAUGGUUCGUCACAGGGAAGGGACACAGAUGAAAACCGGCUCAGGAGAGGCGCCCGGGCAGAGUCUGAGUCCCCAGAUGCGGAGCACCCCCCUUCUUCCCAGCUCACCCCACAGACACCUUCCUGGAACGGAACUUGGAUAGCGGCAUGUGGGUGUGGUUCCAGAUGCAGACUCUGAGAUGAGAUUUGUAUGAAGGACAUGCUCCCCGGAAACGUGGCUGGGAGUGGGGAGUGGACGGGGAUGGGGAGGAGGCGCAUGCAGGCCUGUGGAGGGACAAGGGCUCCAUCCCGUGGAGGAACUCCGGACUCUGCAGGUCAUGGCUCGCAGGUGUCCCCAUCUGGAGGUGAGUGGCUUUGAGUGUUUGUGCCCCUGCCUGGCAGUCACCUGUUAAGGGUUGUAAAUCGCGACAACCCCAGCCCUCAGGAGCUCAGGGAAGGGCCCUCCUGUGGCCGGAGGGCGGCCCUCUGUCAAAGAUCCCGAUGAUGCCCCAUGGGAGUGGGGUCCUAGAGCCCAGGGGUGUGAGAUGGCGGAUGGAGACCUGGACGCGCAUCUGUGGCCGUUAUCAUCAGAGACCCCGCAUCCAGAGGGGCUAAUGGUUUUCUCCUCAGACAAGUGAGGGCUCCUGGUGUGACUGUCCGACCUCACGUGCCAGUGGGGUCAGCACCCGGCCCAGAAGCAGCAGCUCAGCAGCCACCUGCCGUCACCCUCGCCCCGACUGUGGUCACAGUGUCCCCACACCUGGGCAGAGAUGGGGCAGUGUUUUCUCUCCUUCAGAUGCCGCCCAGGCCCAGGCUUUGCCCCAGAGCCUGGGGGCCGUGACAAGAUCACCACGGACUGCAGGACUGCCUGCUGUCUGCUCCAUCCCACACAGACUGUUCCCCCGUCCUCCCUCCUGUCUGGUUUGAGAUGCCAGCCUCCGUCAUCCUGACCCCCCAGUGGUCACAGCCCCGGCUUUGGGCAAAGAGCUUUUCGAGGCGGUGGUUCCACGUGGCCUCCCUGGAGAUGCCCUGAUGAGCCAUAGUCUCACUGUCUUCCUCAUAAUCUGCAGCCCGCUCAGAACAAAAUGAAAGGCCCCACUUUGCAUUUAUUCUCCUUUCUUCCCGGUCACCCCCCACUCCUGUUCCCCUGGAUUGCAGCCCGCACCCCACCCCUAGUAAUUGGUCCCGGCUCAGUUUUCCAAAGGACCCCCGGCCAGGGCACGAGGUGGCCUCACACAGCGUCCUGGC
Equus caballus (horse) is the source of this 7793-nucleotide long non-coding RNA. The record is from Ensembl. NCBI's taxonomy places the organism in Eukaryota, Metazoa, Chordata, Mammalia, Perissodactyla, Equidae.